This 419-nucleotide ribosomal RNA is filed under the name uncultured bacterium. Its description in RNAcentral is "bacterial SSU rRNA". It matches the Rfam family "Bacterial small subunit ribosomal RNA", at positions 356 to 774 of the family's 1533-position model. The record is from RNAcentral.
AAGGAAUAUUGCUCAAUGGGAGAAAUCCUGAAGCAGCAACGCCGCGUGGAGGAUGAAGGGUCUAUGACUUGUAAACUCCUGUAAAGAAGGAAAAAAUUCCCAUUUGAUGGGAGAUGAUGGUACUUCUGGAGUAAGCCCCGGCUAACUACGUGCCAGCAGCCGCGGUAAUACGUAGGGGGCAAGCGCUGUCCGGAUUUACUGGGUGUAAAGGGUGCUCAGGCGGAUUUGUAAGUCAGAGGUGAAAUCUUACAGCUUAACUGUGAAACUGCCUUUGAUACUGCAAGCCUAGAGUAUGGAAGAGAGUGAUGGAAUAUCUGGUGUAGCAGUGAAAUGCGUAGAUAUCAGAUAGAACACCAAUGGCGAAGGCAGUCACUUGGUCCAUUACUGACGCUAAAGCACGAAAGCGUGGGUAGCAAACA